CUAAACUCUCGAUACAAAGCCAUGCAUGCUCUCACAAAAAUCUUUGCAGGAAAAGAGCCAAGAUCAUCAAUCCAAGUUGUUAGGCCGUACGACUCAACGGAGAUAUCUCUCGCAUAAAUUGACAAGGAUAGGGGAUCCUCUCCCCAUCUCCACUAUCUCUCCUAUUCUCACCGUCCCCGCUAUCACUUUCACUUUCUUCUUUGCUUUCCCCCUCGCUUUAACCUUCGCUAUCCCCAGCAUCAUCACUCUCGUGUGCACUACUUUCAUCAUAUUCGAAAAUAUUGACAAGGAUUCUUGAUUCAAUUUCCGACUCCGAUUCAUCAACUACGGGUUUUUUUCUCUUGAAAGUUUUUAAAACUUCUUCGAAUUUUUGCUUUCUGCUGGUAGAAGCAGUGGAAGUAAGCCUUUUAAUCGCUCUAUGAACUCUU
This 428-nucleotide long non-coding RNA is filed under the name Capsicum annuum. Its description in RNAcentral is "long non-coding RNA (CANN_LNC020605)". Lineage: Eukaryota; Viridiplantae; Streptophyta; Magnoliopsida; Solanales; Solanaceae. The record is from RNAcentral.